This 359-nucleotide ribosomal RNA is filed under the name Ensifer meliloti. RNAcentral's name for it is "Sinorhizobium meliloti bacterial SSU rRNA". It matches the Rfam family "Bacterial small subunit ribosomal RNA", at positions 996 to 1354 of the family's 1533-position model. The record is from RNAcentral. Lineage: Bacteria; Pseudomonadati; Pseudomonadota; Alphaproteobacteria; Hyphomicrobiales; Rhizobiaceae.
GGCAGUGGAGACAUUGUCCUUCAGUUAGGCUGGCCCCAGAACAGGUGCUGCAUGGCUGUCGUCAGCUCGUGUCGUGAGAUGUUGGGUUAAGUCCCGCAACGAGCGCAACCCUCGCCCUUAGUUGCCAGCAUUUAGUUGGGCACUCUAAGGGGACUGCCGGUGAUAAGCCGAGAGGAAGGUGGGGAUGACGUCAAGUCCUCAUGGCCCUUACGGGCUGGGCUACACACGUGCUACAAUGGUGGUGACAGUGGGCAGCGAGACAGCGAUGUCGAGCUAAUCUCCAAAAGCCAUCUCAGUUCGGAUUGCACUCUGCAACUCGAGUGCAUGAAGUUGGAAUCGCUAGUAAUCGCAGAUCAGCA